RNAcentral lists this ribosomal RNA (253 nucleotides) under uncultured bacterium. RNAcentral describes it as "partial 16S ribosomal RNA". It matches the Rfam family "Bacterial small subunit ribosomal RNA", at positions 524 to 776 of the family's 1533-position model. The record is from RNAcentral.
UACGGGGGGGGCAAGCGUUGUUCGGAAUUACUGGGCGUAAAGGGCGCGUAGGCGGCCUUCUAAGUCGGACGUGAAAUCCCUCGGCUUAACCGAGGAACUGCGUCCGAUACUGAAAGGCUUGAAUCCGGGAGAGGGAUGUGGAAUUCCAGGUGUAGCGGUGAAAUGCGUAGAUAUCUGGAGGAACACCGAUGGCGAAGGCAGCAUCCUGGACCAAUUCUGACGCUGAGGAGCGAAAGCCAGGGGAGCAAACGGG